AGUGAACGCUGGCGGUAGGCCUAACACAUGCAAGUCGAACGGCAGCACAGUAAGAGCUUGCUCUUACGGGUGGCGAGUGGCGGACGGGUGAGGAAUACAUCGGAAUCUACUUUUUCGUGGGGGAUAACGUAGGGAAACUUACGCUAAUACCGCAUACGACCUACGGGUGAAAGCAGGGGAUCUUCGGACCUUGCGCGAUUGAAUGAGCCGAUGUCGGAUUAGCUAGUUGGCGGGGUAAAGGCCCACCAAGGCGACGAUCCGUAGCUGGUCUGAGAGGAUGAUCAGCCACACUGGAACUGAGACACGGUCCAGACUCCUACGCGAGGCAGCAGUGGGGAAUAUUGGCCAAUGGGCGCAAGCCUGAUCCAGCCAUACCGCGUGGGUGAAGAAGGCCUUCGGGUUGUAAAGCCCUUUUGUUGGGAAAGACAAGCAGCAGGUUAAUACCCCGCUGUUCUGACGGUACCCAAAGAAUAAGCACCGGCUAACUUCGUG
Molecule: ribosomal RNA, 492 nt
Filed under: uncultured bacterium
Lineage: Bacteria
Description: partial 16S ribosomal RNA
Rfam family: Bacterial small subunit ribosomal RNA
Source: RNAcentral